Molecule: long non-coding RNA, 151 nt
Organism: Oncorhynchus keta (chum salmon)
Lineage: Eukaryota; Metazoa; Chordata; Actinopteri; Salmoniformes; Salmonidae
Exons: 4
Source: RefSeq, a predicted model, not a curated record
UGGUGGUUAGAGCAGGUAGCCUGGUGGUUAGAGCAGGUAGCCUGGUGGUUAGAGGAGGUAGCCUGGUGGUUAGAGGAGGUAGCCUGGUGGUUAGAGCAGGUAGCCUGGUGGUUAGAGCAGGUAGUCUAGUGGUUAGAGCAGGUAGCCUGGU